RNAcentral lists this ribosomal RNA (274 nucleotides) under uncultured bacterium. Its description in RNAcentral is "partial 16S ribosomal RNA". It matches the Rfam family "Bacterial small subunit ribosomal RNA", at positions 523 to 796 of the family's 1533-position model. The record is from RNAcentral.
AUACGGAGGGUGCAAGCGUUAAUCGGAAUUACUGGGCGUAAAGAGUACGUAGGUGGUUUAUUAAGUCAGAUGUGAAAGCCCCGGGCUCAACCUGGGAACUGCAUUUGAAACUAGUAGACUAGAGUAUGGUAGAGGGGGGUAGAAUUUCUAGUGUAGCGGUGAAAUGCGUAGAUAUUAGAAGGAAUACCAGUGGCGAAGGCGGCCCCCUGGACCAAUACUGACACUGAGGUACGAAAGCGUGGGGAGCGAACAGGAUUAGAUACCCCGGUAGUCC